UCCUCUUAAUUCCUUCAUGAAUUAAAUUUUGAAUUUUUUACUGUUCCCAAAUAUUUUGAAAUGUGCCACAUUAUCAAAGGAUCUAUUACCUGCCUUAACAUCAUGAUUUUGCCCUGCAUUCUGGUGACGAGACAGCAACAUGUAGAUUUCUGUGUGUUUACUUCCAGACAAACCUACUCACUAAUGCAGACUGGAGUUCUGAUGUUUUUGUUUGUGGCAACUGUGUUAUAUCCCAAUAGAUUUACAUCAGCAUAGACCAGCAGCUGAUGUGUUUCAUUUAAUUUCUGUCCCACCUGGUUUUCCUAGACCUUUCUAAUGCCAUAUUCUAAAUCAAGCAAAGUAGAAAAGCAGUGGUGUUAAAGUCAUCUUUUACACCAUUCUGGAUAAGAAAGUUAUGAAAUGUUGACCUAUACAGAUGUUACAUGUUUCAGUUAAACAGAUUUUUUUCAGCCUAAGUAGUUUCAUGGGUACGCCAACUAUGAGAAUAUUGUAAAAUACUUCCCCCUAACCGAAUUAUAGGAUUCUUGAAAUCCUAUGAAUAGCUGAUGCAGUGCCUCAUUGUUCUCCCAUCUUUCUCCAGUGUCUUAAUAUUUUAAAAUUUAAAUAUAGGCAGUUCUAUAUACCACAGCUUGAAUCCUUGAAGUUGUAGAUUGCAAGGGUUUGCUUUAAAAAUUCUCUCCUAGACUCCAAAAAUAAAUUCUCGACAUGUUUCCUAUUAGCGCCUUUUGAGCAACCAGUUAUAAUUGUUUGGCAGGAGACAGGAAGAUUUAAUAUUUUGAAUAUAGGGGGCAGAAGUGAUUUGUUUAUAAAAUACUGCAAUAAUGGAUUCAGUAAGGACUUUGUGAUGGAAAAGCAGACCAGGCUAUGGAGUACGCACUGUGCAUUCUGGUUCUCUACCAGAGAAAAACAGGGAUUCUGAAAUAAUUACAUCCUUGUUGGUACUCUAACCUCAGAAGAACCCAGAAGUUUUUUACAGCUUUGUUUCAAUGGAGAUUUCUGGAGGAAUAAAAUGUCUGUGUUGAGGAAAACUGUAUUUACAGAAAAAUUCCUUUAAUAAUACACACUUCUUGAGAGGGCUGUCCAUGGGUAGCCCAGAGUCUGAAGGGGAUGCUGAGGAAAUGUUAUGGAGUACAAAUAAGCUGACUCACAGGAAAUAAACACCAGUAUAUACAUUUGUAUUCAUUGCACUGUCACUUUCGAUUUUAUUCUGAGAAGUAACACAUAAAUGCAAUAUCUUUAUUUCCAUUGUAUACGUAACAAUAAAAAUAUUUUUAAACAUUUUG
Cryptotermes secundus is the source of this 1283-nucleotide long non-coding RNA. RefSeq lists it as uncharacterized. The record is from RefSeq and is a predicted model, not a curated record. The transcript has 2 exons. Lineage: Eukaryota; Metazoa; Arthropoda; Insecta; Blattodea; Kalotermitidae.